UGCCAGCAGCCGCGGUAAUACGUAGGGCGCAAGCGUUGUCCGGAAUUAUUGGGCGUAAAGAGCUCGUAGGCGGCUUGUCACGUCGAUUGUGAAAGCCCGAGGCUUAACCUCGGGUCUGCAGUCGAUACGGGCUAGCUAGAGUGUGGUAGGGGAGAUCGGAAUUCCUGGUGUAGCGGUGAAAUGCGCAGAUAUCAGGAGGAACACCGGUGGCGAAGGCGGAUCUCUGGGCCAUUACUGACGCUGAGGAGCGAAAGCGUGGGGAGCGAACAGGAUUAGAUACCCUGGUAGUCCACGCCGUAAACGGUGGGAACUAGGUGUUGGCGACAUUCCACGUCGUCGGUGCCGCAGCUAACGCAUUAAGUUCCCCGCCUGGGGAGUACGGCCGCAAGGCUAAAACUUAAAGGAAUUGGCGGGGGA
RNAcentral lists this ribosomal RNA (417 nucleotides) under uncultured bacterium. RNAcentral's name for it is "bacterial SSU rRNA". It matches the Rfam family "Bacterial small subunit ribosomal RNA", at positions 506 to 920 of the family's 1533-position model. The record is from RNAcentral.